GGUUGAUCCUGCCAGUAGUCAUAUGCUUGUCUCAAAGAUUAAGCCAUGCAUGUCUCAGUGUAAACUUUUAAACAGUGAAACUGCGAAUGGCUCAUUAAAACAGUUAUAGUUUAUUUGAUAAUCAUUUUUACAUGGAUAACCGUGGGAAUUCUAGGGCUAAUACAUGCGUAAACCCGCAAGGGAUGUGUUUAUUAGAUAAAAAUCAACGCUGUCUAACCACAGCAAUGUUGGAAUGAUAAUAACCGAUCGAAUCGCUUUAUUGCGAUGAAUCAUUCAAGUUUCUGACCUAUCA
This 292-nucleotide ribosomal RNA is filed under the name uncultured eukaryote. RNAcentral describes it as "partial 18S ribosomal RNA". It matches the Rfam family "Eukaryotic small subunit ribosomal RNA", at positions 6 to 317 of the family's 1831-position model. The record is from RNAcentral.